UACGAAGGGGGCUAGCGUUGUUCGGAAUUACUGGGCGUAAAGCGCGCGUAGGCGGUUUUGCAAGCCAGAGGUGAAAUGCCUGAGCUCAACUCAGGAAUGGCCUUUGGGACUGCGAGGCUUUGAGGACUGGAGAGGUGAGUGGAAUUCCCAGUGUAGAGGUGAAAUUCGUAGAUAUUGGGAAGAACACCAGUGGCGAAGGCGGCUAUCUGGCCCGUAAUUGACGCUGAGGCGCGAAAGCGUGGGGAGCAAACAGG
RNAcentral lists this ribosomal RNA (254 nucleotides) under uncultured prokaryote. RNAcentral describes it as "partial 16S ribosomal RNA". It matches the Rfam family "Bacterial small subunit ribosomal RNA", at positions 524 to 776 of the family's 1533-position model. The record is from RNAcentral.